GAGCGGCCCCGCUCCAACGCCGCGCCGCUCCCCGACGGGUGGCGCUGGCGAGCCGCGAGCGAGGCGCGGCGGCCCGGAGCGGCCCGGCCCGGCCCGGCUCCCCCCGGCUCCGGAGCUCGUGGCCGCGGGACAUCCGCGCUCGCCACCGCCGGAGGCCGCGCGGAGCGGCCCGGCCCGGCCCGCUGCCCUGCGCCGUCGGGGGACGCGCGGCGCCGCCGGCCCGGCCCGCUCUGCUCCGCCCGUCGGGGCCGCUGCGCGCCGCCCCGCAGCUCCCCUGGGAGGGGGGCCCCGGGCCGGGGGCAGGUUUCGCUCGAGCGGUGUAAAACCGAUGCCGUGCAGCUAAGGCGGGCGGUAAUUUAAGAAAAUUCAUUAAGGAACACCUUUGGGUAGCAUUGCUGCUAAUUAUUUAAUUGCAGGAAUCCCUAUGGGGAAAAUUAUGCUAAUUAUACAGUAAUAAACCCACUUGUUCGAAAGCACGCAAUUCAGCAGCUUUCAGUCCUUCCGCCGGGACCUUCCCGGCGGUGUUGGACAGGGGCAGCGGUGCUGGGCCCGGGGCUCCGCGGCGGCGCGGGAGGCGGGCAGGCCGCCGAGGGGCACCUCGGGUCAACGGGGCGCCGCGUCGGGGAAGCUUGGUGCGCGCUGCCCUUGUCCUCGUUGCCGAGAAGCCGCUUGGACAGCCCGGGUUUGCCCGGUGCUCUUCCCACCGCCGCCGGGGAGAGCGCGGCCGACGGCGCGCCCGCCCUGGGGCUGCUCCCCUCACCUCCGUGCGGGUCCGUGCCGUCUGCGCCGCAGGCCCAGGCCCCGCAUCCGCGCCGUGCUCGUGCCGGUGCCGGUGCCGGUGCCGGUGCCGGGCCUGCCGCCCCCGCGGCGCCGGGAGCGAUCGCGCCGGGUGCCCAGACCUCGGUUCUGCGCGGGGGGGGGGGGGGGGCGAGGUGCAGCCGCUUCUGCGAGCGCUUCCCCUUGGGGCGAGGCGGGGGCCGGCGGCUGCGAUGCCGUCGGGUGCUUUGAAACCUGCAGCGUCUGGUCAGCGCCAGCGCGUCCGGCUGCGCUCGGGGGGCGGCUGAGGGGGGGCAGCACCGGGCGCUUCCCGCCGGCCCAGACGCGCCUGCGGAGGGGCAACGGCGAGUGAAAGAACAGGCGAACUGCAAUGCGCGUCAGGGUGUUUCGGGAAGGGAAGACUCGUGUUCGAAGAGGGGCAAGAACAAAGCAGCUUCGAAACCGUGGCGGCAGAAAUGUGGCUGAGAAGAAAGUCUCUUUAUAUUUUGGAGUGCGGGGGGAUUUUUUGGCUGCAGCUUUUUUGUACUGAGAAAAUGAAAAUCCUUCAAGUCCAUGCAUGAAUAAGCAAGUACAGCUGGGCAGCCUAAUACAUAAUUUAUACUGAUCAGUCACUGCAGAUUCAACUGAAUAAAGCCAAAAUGAACACUAAUUGUUUUGACAAACUAAAAUAGUGUAUAUGAUGGUUUAUUGUGAAGCUUGCUGGUUACUGUCCUGAUCUCAGCAGCUAUUGUCAAAACUGAUUUCUGCAUGAGAUGCAGAAAAAGACUAAACAAAUUAGGACAAUAUUAAGAUUAAUAUCUUGUUGAAGAUAAAGCAUUUUAAUUGCUUAACAUACAAGCAGAAAAUAGACAGAACUGUCUUCGGGACGGAGGGGAGAAUCGACGUGGUGAAGCACGGAACGUACCUGCAUCUAGCGGGCGAGCUGCGAUCGCUGGGGCAGUGCGCGGUACCCUGUUUGCUGAGGGGUGAACCUGGGAGAGAAUAGAUUUUGUUUGUUUGUUUGUUUGUUUUAGAUCGCUUUUGAAAUAUGAGCAGGAACAACUUAGGAUUGCCUUUAGACACUUGUAUUCCAAAAGGGAACAUCCAAAAAGAUGUCACUGGGCUCCUGGAGCGUUAUCUCUUCAGGCUAGUUAAUCCAAAAAAACACACAGCUUAGCUCAGGGUUUGAUGUAGGCGAAGGGGUUUCAUUCUGGCGGAGGAUUACUCUGGCUCUGCUGUGGUACGGUAAAAAUCACAACGUAUUGCUGGAGUGAGAGAGUAACGAUAACCUGACGCUCUAACACGCUAGUGCGUGUGGCCCCGAGGUGGUCACCCGGGUGGGCCUUGGCUCUCCUCCUCCAAAGCCUCUCCUUGAGGUGGAUGGGCAAAUGAGAGCCUUUCAAAACUACAUCAGGAAAUUAAGUAAGAGGCAGCUCAGGGUAAUAAUAAGAUUCACAUGGAUGCCUAAGCGAGACUUUGGCGUGGGCCACUUUGCGUGCCAGUUAAUUGCUGCUGCGUGUCCUUGGUGGGCGCCUGGCAGGUGCCACCUCGCCGUCCCUCCUGGCUCGGAGCGCCUGCGCGCCAGCUGGCUCCCACGAUGGCUUUCGUACCGGCCUGGGGACUUGCUGAAGCUCACGUCGUCACCGCGUGUGCCGCCACCGAGGUGUCGGAUGUGGCUGCGAAAUCAGGGGUGGGCUUGAAUGUUGCUUGAAUGAGCUGGAGAAGGUUUGGGCCCAGGGCUUUAAUUUGGACUGUUAUAUGCAUUGGGGGGGGGGGGGGGCAGCAGUUGGGAGCUGGUUCUUCCCUUGAUCUGGGGUUACUGCUAAAACCAGAUUCUAAAACCCUAUUUGGCCAGUAAGGAAAUGCUCCUCUGCACCGGGGCAAUACAGUGCCUGUGCACCAGCUUGCUGAGCAUUACUGGCAGCUUAUUCUAGGAAGCGUGAAUUUUUCCAGUGAAGGCAGAGCUACACAAAACCAUGUGCAAGGACGUCCCCUCUGCUCGGCCCUUCUGCGAGGAGAAGGAGCUGGGGCAAAACAUGUGCACGCUCCCGAGACGCGGGCGGUCGCUGUCCUGACGCACAACGUGAGCAGGGCAGGGGCUCGCAGCCGCUGGCGACCACAGGGUCGGGUCUCCGUGCUUCGUGGCCUGCUGUAUCAGCUGGCGUGGAGGAGUCAGUUGAGCGAGCUCCCAUGGCUGUCAAGCCGAAGAGUUUUAAUUUAAUUUUAACUUAGGAAUAUUUUAUGACUUUUGUUCUGUGGCUGUGAGUGACAAUUUUAUUCCAUUAUAUAUUCCGCUUGCUGUAAUUUCCCAGAUGUUUUAUAAGUAGGGUACUGGUUGCACGUCAUGGUGCCUUAUUUUCCAAGAGUUCUCAUGGACUUAAGUGUGCCUCAAUCACGGGUAUCACAACUGCUUCCUUGCUAUCAUGAGUUACUCCCCAAAACCCAGCUGCGUAUGUUGUACACGGAAAACACGGAGGGCUUGUUCCAAAACUGGAAAACAUUCGCCCAAGGCGGCCCAUACCGUCCCCACCAAAACUGGUGGCCUUGAGGAGGCUCUGAAUUAAAGCCUGACUCAGCCUGACGGCCCCUCCGAACCCUCGGUGUGGAUCAGCUCCAGCCGCGCCUGCGGGAAGAGCGCAGGGGCUUUGCGGAAGACCCUUCCGCCGCUGGCCUUCGCGCAGGGCGGCUGGGGCAGGCGGCGCGUGCCCGUUCUGCUCGGGCCUUCCCUGCCGCGGUGCUUAGCGCCGGGCGCGAGCCUCCGCCGGGAUGGGCCAGCCGCAGCCGCUGCCCUGGGGCGGCUGGGACCGCCGGUGAUUUCACACGCAAGCAGCGCUAAUCUACAAUAAAUCUUGCGAAAUCAAUAAAAAUAUGGAAAGUAUAUCAUUUUUAAAGAAAAAACACGUGAGACAUGGCCAUUAAGGGCACAGCCAUUCUAAUACCUGUGUCUGGUUGAAACUGCAAUUAAAAACAUUCCAAUAAUAAAUCUACUUUCAGUCUCGCUUAAUGCUUUUAACUUUCUUGAAAGUUCAAGCUGGUAUCCCAAAAAUGUGCCAGGACUUUCACAAUGUAUUUUAUAGAGUCAUAAAUAAAUAUGGCAAUUAAUCUAAGCUAUAUUUCUUUCAUAUUUGAUGACAAUUUAUUAUGACACUCACUCAUUCAGUGCACAAAAACUCUAAUGCACUUAAAAUCGGAUUUCAAACCAAACGUUUUAUGGGAAAAUAUAGUAUUGAUCAUCCAUUUAAAGAUACCAUGUGAUGAUUCAUAACCCGCUAUAAAAAGGAUCUUAUGAGGACAUUCAGAAUGAGUUUUGUGGACCAUUCUUGCCACAAAAUCAAAGUUAUGAGAGUUAUAGUUCUCAGUGAUGUGUUACAUUUCUGUUUAGAAUUUUCAUAUAUAAUGUUAUUUAUGAUGGAUACCAGCUUUAAAAUAAAAGAUUUUGCAUAUCUAAGAAAUAUAUAGAGACUAAUUUUCUGUUUAGGGAUAGCUCGGUAGGAGGUGAUGUUAAAUAUAUAGAAGCAAUUUUUCUCUUUCUCCGUUUACACAAAUUCAUGCAUGAAAUUUGUUCCUUUCAAGGAUAAUUUCCACUAUUUUGGGUAUGUUAAUCAGGCGGUCUGUGCAAUAUGGAUCUGCCGCUGUGUCCCCUAAUAAAAUAUGUUUUCUGUGUAUGA
Dromaius novaehollandiae (emu) is the source of this 4424-nucleotide long non-coding RNA. RefSeq lists it as uncharacterized. NCBI's taxonomy places the organism in Eukaryota, Metazoa, Chordata, Aves, Casuariiformes, Dromaiidae. The transcript has 2 exons. The record is from RefSeq and is a predicted model, not a curated record.